UAAAAAUGUCAAUGCUCACAAUUACAUAAUUCACCAACUUCUUCAAGUUGAUUAACAUACCAAAUUUCUAGAUACAACAUUCAAAAGGUCUACAAUGUGCAAAAAAGGAAAAAGAAAGAGAGGGUGAGGACUGAGGAAGCAACAAUUCCUACUGACUUGCAGGAAAGGAUAAUGCUCAUUAUAUGAAGGAAAAUAGUCCUUAUUACAUUACAUGGUUGAAUUUCUCCACGGAACAACAAACCAAAGGUGUCAUCUUUCUUUCCAAAGUCCAAGUACUUCUCAUCAUCUAAAUUAUGUCACUUACUCACAUUAAUGUUGACAGUAUGAGAUCAGAUCAGAUAUCAAUUCAGUUACCCUAAAAUUCUUAAUCA
Cicer arietinum (chickpea) is the source of this 371-nucleotide non-coding RNA. NCBI's taxonomy places the organism in Eukaryota, Viridiplantae, Streptophyta, Magnoliopsida, Fabales, Fabaceae. The record is from RefSeq and is a predicted model, not a curated record.